This is a long non-coding RNA of Meriones unguiculatus (Mongolian gerbil), 3593 nucleotides long. RefSeq lists it as uncharacterized. The transcript is spliced from 3 exons. The record is from RefSeq and is a predicted model, not a curated record. NCBI's taxonomy places the organism in Eukaryota, Metazoa, Chordata, Mammalia, Rodentia, Muridae.
CACUACAAAAGCUACAAAAGCUCCUAGCUGCUGGCUCCACUCCUCUGGACCCUGUUUGCUGGCCUUAAAACAAUAGGAGUAGAAGAGAGGCCUUAGCAGGAGCAAAGCUCUCAGACUCUCCCAGUGAGGUGAUACUGAGUCCUGGCUCCUGUGGCCACCCAGAAAGAGAGCCUGCCUGGGCAGGACAGUGGCCUCCAAUAGUCCCCCCAGCGCUUUAUCAUUGCCCAGACUCCCAGCCUGGCCUGUCAGCCUGGGCCUGCCCGCAGCCUUGGGAGGUACUGGGGAGGGGAGAGUUUCAGGUCUGAUGAAAGCCACCGAAACUAGCUCAGAGCUCCAAUGAAAGGAACCAAGAAGAGGCAUGAGUCUGUUUGACUGCUGGGUGGCAGGCAUGACUAGACUUGUCUUUCUCUUGGGGAGAUGAAGACAAAGACAGCGUCAUCCGCAGAGCGAGCCCUGUGCCUCCGCUACUGCCCCCGCACAGUCUCUUUGCUCGGAAGAUGUGACUGGCCUCUGAGUCCCCACCAAAGAACCCUGGGAGCACAAGGCCACUUCUAUCACCACACAGGAGUCCUGAGUGUGGAGAAACAGGGAAGGGGGUAAGUGGAGAGGUGGCAGCAUCAAUUCCUGUCUAGACUGGAGUUUUGGAAUCCAGUCGUCCUGAUGAAAGGAUACAUUAUGGAGACAGGAAAUAAAUCCACCAGGUCAACAAGACGGCAUUCACCUAGGAUUAUUUACACUUUUUUCCACUCUCUGGUCGUUGCCUGUCCUACUGCCAUCUGCUUUCAAGUUUCAACAGAGUCACUGAUUGCAUCAUAACUUGCAGAGUCUGAAUAUAAUAGCUCUGGCUGGCCUGGAACAUGCUAUAUGGACCAAGAUGACCUCCAAUUUGUAGCAACCCUCCUGCCUGCUGAAUGCUGGGAUUGAAGAUGUAUGGCACCACAUCCACCUCUGCUGAAAGAUUUCGUGCCAAAAUCUCUGGACAAGGUCUAGGCUCUCUGCUUUAAAUAUACCACCCACUGUGCUAAAAGUCUGAAGAGCAUAGUUCCUGACCCCCCCCCAGCACACAUCCCUACUCCUACCACCCACUACCACCAAACCCCACCCUUGCCAAUCUCAGUGAAUCAGUUUGCAGCUCAACUCCCCCAACCCUACCCCCCAACUUCCAAACCCACAUUCAAGGCUUCCACCUAGCAUCCCUGUGACACGUGUCUGGCUUUGAGGCCAUGAUCGGGGCUUCCUGGGUGGUGGGCAGACCAUAGUCGCCUCAGAGACCACAGUCUCUCAGAGGCUCCAGUCUGAGCAUGCAUCUCCUUCACUCCAAGUGCCCGUCCUUCACCUGUUCUGACUCUCAGAUGAACCACCAACACCUCCCACAAAUCUCUAAAGGUUAUAAUCUUCCCAGUAAGCCUCAUGAAAUACUUCUAACCUUUGCUGAGUAACUUUGGCCUCUGUGUCAUCAGAGGACCUCAGCAUCCAACCAUUGCUCAUGAAGGUGUCUACUAAGGUACCUGCUAUGUCCUGCCUGCUCCUUCUAGGUGCUCACAGCUCAGUGCCAGAUGGAGAUCAACCAUGGAGGCUAAGAACUAUUGUCCAGAAUGGAAGAGACACUGGGUGGUGAGAACCUAGGGAAGGGAAUAUACUUUCCAUCUUGGCAUGGGCCAGGACUGGACAUUUAUACUGGGAAGGAAGGAUGUUUAAUGUUUAAUGCAUACAGCAAAGCGGGAACAGAGAUACUGGGGCCCAGGAAACACAGCUUCAUGCAGAGUAAAGAUGUCUAGGAUGCUUGAAGACAAACCUGAGGGUGAAACCAUCUUUCAGAGAUUUCUCAUUGUAUUUCUGGGAAGGGGAGGUGGAUUGAAACUGGCUCUCAUUCACUCUGUAGCCCAGGCUGGACUGGAGCUCACUUUGUAUUAAAGUUUUUGAGAUCCUACAAGGCAGGGUGUAGCCACUAUUCAUCCUAUAGAUGGCGGAGAGCUGGAGUCAGUGAUUUGAACAUCAAGGGCACUCAGAGAUUUUGCUACAUCUCCCAAGGGAAACGGGAAGGGUUUGAGCCAGUGAGUGCUAGUUAGACUUGCUUUGUCCUUUCUCCUCUGCCUUCAUCCAGGGUACUCCAUCUGUCCAUGGUUCUUCUGACUCCUGACAGCAAUUUUCCCAUCCUCAAGUCCUAGCUCCAGGAACCCCGCUGAAAGCAGUACCUUUUCCAUGGAACUGAAUGCUGUCUUGUCUCUUAUCUCCCUCCUUCAUUUCACACAUCCCGUCUUAUACAUCCUGUCCACCCAUGAGUCUAAACUCUCCUCCAGAGCACACAGUGCUUAAGACCUCUCUCAGCAUCUUCCUGACAUCUUCUAAGACCUGUAACCCUGCCCUGUGGGACCUGCCUGGAAGUGUGUGCUGCCUGAGAUGGAAUCUCUAUGGAGGCACAGCUCCUUCUGGAGGCCCAGGGGCUGGACAGGGGAAGAAUGAAAUGGGGCCUGUGACAUGGGCCCGAGGCAGAGGAGGUCCUAGGAUUAUCUGGAGCUGGUCUUAUCUGCUUCUGUUACCUGGCAGCCACCUCUGCCCUCCAGAAAAGCCUAGGAAGAAAUGGCUGGGUCCUAAUAAGAUGGGGCGAGGCAUCCUUUGUUCGCCUGACUCCCAGCAAAGAGGAGCCUGCAGCCAUUGCACUGAGUCACCCGGAAAGUCAUCACUUCCUACACAUCUGAUUCCUGCUUACUGUUCAUCAGGCCUACCUCCAAACUAAGAGCCAACAGGACUACAUCCACAUCUGUCUCUUCACAUUCCCUCUUACUGCAGGUCUCUGUGUCCCUGUGUGCGGCACAUGCUCUUUCCAGUGCAUUAGGUUUGCCAACACACCAGAGUGAUAGCCUCAAGACAGCAGGGCCCUGGUCCAGGCUGAAUUUGCAAAUGCAUGGGGGACCUUGGGUCUGUGCCUUCCUCAUUAGUUGCUUUCCUCAUCUGCAACUUGAAGAGGUUGUCCUAAGUAGGUCUUUUAUCCUGAGGCUGCCUAACCCUAUCUUCUUGGAGAAUUGUUCAAAAUUCAGACCGGUGGAUCUUCUUCCCAGGCUGACUAGAUUCCACUCCCAGACAGUAGGAUUUAGUAUUUCCUUUUUUAUGUGUGUGUGUGUGUAUGUGUGUGAUGAAGGUGUUCUGCUGUGAGUAUGAGCAUGGAAACCAGAUGUCAGUGUCUUCCUUGAUCAGUCUCCACCCUAUUUUUUAAGACAGGGUCUCUCAGUGAACCUGGCUAGACUGGCUGACCAAAUUGUCCCUUGGAUCCACCUGCUUCUGCCCUCCAGCACUGGGGUUACAGGUGCCCACCACAAAACCCAGAUGUGGAUCUGAACUCAGCUCUCCUUUCGUGUCUCUCAAGGGCUAUUAUAAGUACUGUGUAAAUCCUUUCAUGGUAGGAGUUGGGGAUACACACUUUUUCCCUAUGAGAAUAUAUCCCACCCCAUCUCUCUUCACUCAGACUGCCUUGAAAGAAGACAAAAGAGUGGAUGGUUUUUACCUCUCAUGAUUCUGAAAGCCAGGAGUCUAAGAUUUGGGCCUUGAUUGCCUUGGUAACUGGUGAGGGGUCUCUUCCUGGCUUGCAAAUGGAA